This 421-nucleotide ribosomal RNA is filed under the name uncultured bacterium. RNAcentral describes it as "bacterial SSU rRNA". It matches the Rfam family "Bacterial small subunit ribosomal RNA", at positions 355 to 773 of the family's 1533-position model. The record is from RNAcentral.
UAAGGAAUAUUGGGCAAUGGACGAAAGUCUGACCCAGCCAUGCCGCGUGGAGGAUGAAGGUCCUCUGGAUUGUAAACUUCUUUUAUCUGGGAAGAAACCCACGGUUUCCACUGUGGUUGACGGUACCAGAUGAAUAAGCACCGACUAACUCCGUGCCAGCAGCCGCGGUAAUACGGAGGGUGCAAGCGUUAUCCGGAUUCACUGGGUUUAAAGGGUGCGUAGGCGGGUUGCCAAGUCCGUGGUGAAAUCUCUGAGCUUAACUCAGAAACUGCCGUGGAUACUGGUAAUCUUGAAUAUCGCGGAGGUAAGCGGAAUAUGUCAUGUAGCGGUGAAAUGCUUAGAUAUGACAUAGAACACCGAUAGCGAAGGCAGCUUACUACACGAUCAUUGACGCUGAGGCACGAAAGCGUGGGGAGCAAAC